This 430-nucleotide unclassified non-coding RNA is filed under the name soil metagenome. RNAcentral describes it as "partial contains 5.8S ribosomal RNA, internal transcribed spacer 2, and large subunit ribosomal RNA". The stretch from base 1 to 120 matches the Rfam family "5.8S ribosomal RNA", at positions 35 to 154 of the family's 154-position model. The record is from RNAcentral.
GAUGAAGAACGUAGUGAAAUGCGAUACGUAAUGUGAAUUGCAGAAUUCAGUGAAUCAUCGAAUCUUUGAACGCAUAUUGCGCUCUCUGGUAUUCCGGAGAGCAUGCUUGUUUGAGUAUCAGUAAACACCUCAACUCCCUUUUCUUUUUUGAAAUUGGAGCUGGACUUGAGUGAUCCCAACGCUUUCUUCCAAGAAAGUGGCGGGUUGCUUGAAAUGCAGGUGCAGCUGAACUUUUCUCUGAGCUAUAAGCAUAUCUAUUUAGUCUGCCUAAAAAACAGAUUAUUACCUUUGCUGCAGCUAACAUAAAGGAGACUAGUUCUUGUGCUGACAGAUGCAGGAUUCACAGAGACAGCUUCGGCUGACUUUGUAAACUCGAUCUCAAAUCAAGUAAGACUACCCGCUGAACUUAAGCAUAUCAAUAAGCGGAGGA